GGAGUCUAGCAUGUGCGCGAGUCAUUGGGAUAUAACUAAACCUAAAGGCAAAAUGAAAGUAAAAGUUAAUUUAGAUUAACUUAGGGAAGAUGUGCAGUUAUUGCGAUUGCUGCACCGCAUUCCCGGGGCGUCUCAUUCUUAUUGCAAGAAGAGGCGCACCAAGAGCGUACACGCUGGGACCCGAAAGAUGGUGAACUAUGCCUGGUCAGGACGAAGUCAGGGGAAACCCUGAUGGAGGUCCGUAGCGAUUCUGACGUGCAAAUCGAUCGUCGGAACUGGGUAUAGGGGCGAAAGACUAAUCGAACCAUCUAGUAGCUGGUUCCCUCCGAAGUUUCCCUCAGGAUAGCUGGCGCUCAUUGCGCACGAGUUUCAUCCGGUAAAGCGAAUGAUUAGAGGCAUUGGGGUCGAAACGGCCUCAACCUAUUCUCAAACUUUAAAUGGGUGAGAUCUUCGGCUUGCUUGAACGUGAAGCCGUAAGACUCGAAUCAGAGUGCCAAGUGGGCCAUUUUUGGUAAGCAGAACUGGCGCUGUGGGAUGAACCAAACGCAGAGUUAAAGCGCCUAAAUCGACGCUUAUGGGAUACCAUGAAAGGCGUUGGUAACUUAAGACAUCAGGACGGUGGCCAUGGAAGUC
This 633-nucleotide ribosomal RNA is filed under the name Litargus sp. UPOL ZL0145. RNAcentral's name for it is "eukaryotic LSU rRNA". It matches the Rfam family "Eukaryotic large subunit ribosomal RNA", at positions 670 to 1262 of the family's 3401-position model. The record is from RNAcentral. Lineage: Eukaryota; Metazoa; Arthropoda; Insecta; Coleoptera; Mycetophagidae.